This 26077-nucleotide long non-coding RNA is filed under the name Panax ginseng (ginseng). RNAcentral's name for it is "long non-coding RNA (PGIN_LNC000079)". Lineage: Eukaryota; Viridiplantae; Streptophyta; Magnoliopsida; Apiales; Araliaceae. The record is from RNAcentral.
CACACUUAACUAAUCAAAUAAUAUUAUUUAAAUUUAAUUAAAUUAAAGGCAAUAUUACCCAUUAAAUCACAUCAUCGCAUAAUUAAAAUUAUCAUUUAUUAAAUAUAACACAUAAUUUAUUUUUUCAAUAAAUCUCUAAUUAAUUAUUUAAUUAAUUAGAACAAUACUAAAAUUAUUUAACAACUCAUUGAAUUUAAUAAUCUCAAUUAAAUCCACACUUUGAAUUAUAACAUUAUUCCUCAUUAAUUUAAUUAAUCACUACAAAAAAAUAGACAUUUGGCAAUAAUUUUUUGUGCAAUGACUUAUAAAGUCAUUGCCAAAAAUGCAUGUUUAGCAAUGAAAUUUGUCAUUCGUUGCAGUUUAUGAAAGGCUUUCAUUUUUCAUAACGAAAUUCACAAGUCGUUGUAAAAAUUUGUUGCCAAAUCGUUGGCGGAAAAAAAAACACACCGCCUAUUUUCUUUUUUAUAACCGAUGAGAUUUCUUCUCAUCGUCGGCAACAAAAAAAAAUUUGUUGCUAUAUUUUGUUGCCUAAUAUAGGCCACAUUCAUAGGCAAUAAUUUUUUUUCGUUGCUUAUUUAAUACAUUUUUUUUGCAAUGACUAGUAAAUUGUUACCCAAAAUUAAGACAAAGCCAAUAAGCAUGCCUCAGUUUUCCCCCAAAACGCUUCAUUUUUCAUUAAAAUUUUUUUAUUUAUUUGGACACAAUUUUAUACAGUGAAAUGUUUCACUCCGUUCGUCUCAAAAUAAAUGCCCAGUUUUUAUAUUUUUUAAAGUUAUAAUUUUUGAAAUUAAAAUUGAGCACAUAUAGAUAUAUUUUCUAAUUUACAAAAAUUAAAGUUUAUAGUUAAUUAGAUGUAGUUUAUAAUGAUCAUAUUCGCACACUUAUAAUUUUGAAAAAAAAUAUAAUUAAUUUUCAAAAUAAUUUACAUAAAUUUUUCUUGUAACUCGUUAUUUUACAUAUAUACUUUUUGACAAGGGAUGGGCAAAGAAUCAAAAUCGCUCCCGAAAUUGCACCAAAAAUUGACCAAACUGCACCGAUUAAGUCGCGCCAAUGGUUCCGGCAUAGACCAAUUAAGUUACACCAAUGGUGUGUAAGUUCUUUUUUAACUCUCCUUUUUCAAAUUCUCCUUUUUUCUUAACUUGUAAAUUUUUUUAUAAUCAAAUAUUAAUUUCUCUUUAUAUCUUUAAUUAGAGGGUGUUUAGCAAUGACUUAUAAGUUGGUCAAACUAAAUUUAAGUCAUUUGUUAUUAUUUAGUGUUUGACAAUAACUUAAAUUUUAACUUUUUUUUGAAUUACAAGUCAUUAUUAAAUUUUUUCAUGCUUCAUGUGCUAUAUUUUUUAUGUAUUAGAUAAAUUUUACUACCAUCUAUAUAUAUAUAUAUAUAUAUAUAUAUAUAUAUAUAUAUAUAUAUAUAUAUAUUAAAAUAUUCAUAAUUACGUUAUAUAAAUAUUCAUAGUUACUUUGUCGACGUCGGGAUUUUUAUUGUCCCUUUUCUGUUCUGGUCUUUUGGUGUUCUCAUGUUAGGUGAAAUUUGUUUGAAAAAACAAGUUGUGAAAAGGUCCGAUAUGUAUAUGUCGGCGAUUGGACUGUAAGAGUCGCCAGUUGGUAUUUUUAAAUGGUUGCACCAACUCAACCGAGAAAAGGUUUGCACAUUAACCUAGUGAUGUAACACUGCUUAACAGAUCUGUGAAACCGAGAUUCGUUAGGGUCCGGGGGCUUGAUUAUGCGGAGAAAAGGUGUUAGGCACCCCCCGACAUCUGUGUUACCACGGUGACCGCCACUUUUCAAUUAAACUAUUAUAUGAAUGUGUGUAUGUGUGUGUGGGUCAAUGUGCAAUUAUCGGGAAGUAGUGAUAUGUCUCGUUUGCACCUAUAUACAAAGGGUUUGAAUUUUGUAUAAAAGUUUAGUUUUAACAAGAUAUAACAAUGAUAUUUUGUAAAAGAGGUUUUCAAACCCUUAUGCUCAAUAGUAAUUGAGGCCUUUGAUACUUCCAUUUUAUUAUGUGUUCAGUUUAACUGCUUUUAUGUUUGAGAUGUGAGGCAUCUUCGAGAAAAUAAGAUAUAUAGCAGUGCCGAAUUCCUUAUGGGCAUGAGAGACAUCUAAGGAAAUUCAAACACUGUGAAUAAUUUAAAAGCUGGAUACAACUGAAAAUGUCCAUCACGGGAACCGAAUCUAGAUCCAGAAGACUGAAUUUGUGAUCACAUGAUUCCUAAACUCACAUGAUGUUGUAGUUUGUAUGAAAGCUGUAAGCAGUUAAAUAUAUAUAAAAGCUAUAAAUAUAUAUAUAUAUAUAUGAACGAUCAACCACCACGGAGUAAACUCCAUGGGGAUUAGAAAUGUAAAUAUAUAAAAGCUGUAAAUAUAUAUAGAGAUAAUCAACCACCACGAAGUAAACUCCAGGCGGGACUUAAUGUAAAAUAAAGCAGUAAAAGGCCACAAAGUAAAUUUCAGGCCUAACAAAAAUCUAAAUAUAUAUAUAUAAGCAAUAAACGCUCCGGAUGUGAAUCCAGGCUCAAUCGAGGCAUAACUCGAUGAUGUUAGUAUAAAUAUAUAUAUAAGUAUAUAUAUACAAAAGAAAUAAAAAGCCACGGACCGAAGUCCGGGCAUACGCACACAACACGACUCUCAAAGUGAAUAAUUGUGAGUGCAGAAAGUGGAGAAAGGCUUUAAGAAAUGUAAGAAGUCUUACAGCGGGAUGUCAAGAAGACUUCAAAUAGCUUUAAUUGAAUGAACACUUGGUUUUCACCGGUAAAAUAUAGCAAAAUAUAAGCUCGCAAGUGUUUAAAAUGAGAAAGCACUAAGUUUAUAGUGUGUACAAAGCAAAAUUGACUGGGCUUCCUCGCCUUUUCUCUUUCUAAAAUGGCCACCCCAAGCCCUUUAUUUAUAGAGGGGGGAGCCACAAGUGUACCUACGGCAGCCGCAGAUGUAUCUGCGGUUGCCCGAGGUGCCCCAGGCUCCGUGGGUCCCGCCGUCUCAAAGUACGUGCAUGCAUGCAACGCGUUGUCCACUCGAACCUUCAUAACUUUCAAUCCGGGUAUCCGAUUAAGGCGUAUAAUACCUUUUCGGAAUGCUGUUGUCGAGAGCUACACAAUGACAUGUGAUAAGAGGUUAUACGAAGUCGGGAAGAUAGGGCCAUGCCUAGAUCUUUGGGUCUUCAAAUUCCAUCAAGUGUGCUGUCUUGUGUAGAAAUCACUCGGGAUUUAAGCUAUGGUUCUUGUAGGACACUUCUGUGUAGAAUGUAUGUUGAAAUGUUGUUGAGAUGGCGCAAUGUGGGAUCGAGGUGGCAAAAUGAUGAUUUUUCCCUUCACUGGGGUUAUCUCCGGUUUGGGCUAAUUUAGCAGUCAUUGCUCAGGGUUAUCUCUGAGAUUGGGCUGCUGUGAGUACUAAAGGUCCUCAGGGUUGUCUCUGAGGUGUGCCUGACCUCUUAGGGUUGUCUUAAGGGUUGGAAUUGAGUGCCUCGGGGUUAUCUCUAAGGUUGAAGCUGAUUGCAAAGGAUUGGAAUGAGCUUUUUUGGGGUUAUCUCUGGAACUGCAACUGCAUUUCUUGGAGUUAUCUCUGAGGUUGAAACUGAAACUCCUGGGGUUAUCUCCGGGAUGGAAAAACUAAUAAUUUCGGGGUUGUCUCCAGAACUGGAACUGCAUUCAUCGGGGUUGUCUCUGAGGUUAGAACUGAAACUCCCAAGGUUGUCUCCGGGACUAGACUGAGUAUCUCGAGGUUGUCUCUGGAACUGGAACUAGUUGGUCCUCCAGGGUUAUCUCUGAAAGACGAUUCUAUUCUCCUACAAUGUUAGUAAUAGGAAUACAGAAAUUUUUGAGUGUCUACAGAUGUCCCUCUUUAUCAUAUUCAUGCAAUGUAAUGGUAUGGAUAGGAUAAAGAAUACUAGACACUUGAAAUGUGACAAGAUAAUCAUAAUGCAAUGUACUGCAGCAUGAUGUAUAUGCAUGAUGUAUGUGGUUUGUUGGACCUUUUUCCAACAGGAUGUGAUGACUAUUCCCACGGCUUCUGAUGGGGACUGGAGUUAUCACUGAUGAUCAUGAAGAACUGCUUGGAUGUGUACUCCAAAGCUCUCAGGAACUUCCAGGAUGUUGACGUUGGGGUUAUCACCAAAGUCCUAAAUCCUUGAUACAAACUUCCCACUGAGGAUGUAUCUCUCAUGUACAAGAGAUUUUGGGGAUUUUUGUUCUGUCUAAUGAAGAUGUGUAUAACAUAUUCCAUCAUCAGGGAAGAUGUUCUUUCCUAGUUUGUAUUGUCAGGUCCUUCCAUUGCUCUGUCGGAGUUAUUGCCAAUAGUCUGUGUUGUCAGGGCUGCCUGACCCUCGCUAAAUGUACAUCAACGGAUGAGAUCCCUGCUGGGGAUAACGUUAAGGCUGCUUGACCUUCGUUGAUGUGUGUAUCAAUGGAUGAGAUCAUCGGAUAACUUCUGAUGCUUCGCUGGAUUUACCUUCCAGUGACUGAAUGUCGUCAAGGUUGCUCAACCUUCAUUGACGUGUGUAUCAAUGGAUGAAUUGGAUAAAGUUUUCACUGGGGGAAAAUGUUUUAGAGUUACAACCCCGGACUGAUGGCAUUGGACCUUCGUGAGGUAUUGUCGAGUUUAGUUUGCAACAUUUGUGAUCAUCGGUAUAGUAAACUUUUCAUUUGGGCAAAUACCAAUGAGUGAUAAGUAGACCCGCAGUUUGGUCUCUGAAAACUAGGAUUUCAGGCUUUUAUGCUCAAUCGCAUAUCAUCUUUUUUCCUGAUUUGACUUUUUUAGCUUGUGAGACCUCCUUUGUAACUCAAAUUAGACCAAGCCGGAGGGGUGGGCCCCACCCAGGGGAGCCGCAGGUACACCUGCAGCCAACCGUGGGUGGCUUUAAGGCACCUGUUGCUUUCAUAAGUCAUUUUCAAGUUGCGCCACACAGAGAAUCCGAGAGCUCUUCUUCAGAUUUGCUGAGUUCGGGCAGCUUUCUGCAAAAUAUGUCACCGUACAAGUGUUCUACACUAUCCUGGUAACGUAUGCAUGUCUGCUUUUCCAAUUUUUAUCCGUUGGAAAAUGAGUUAUCAUAUGAAAUGCUUCUAAACACAUAUUACUGAAUAUGCAUGCUCAUAUGACUUGAUAAAAAAUAUUUAAUACAGUAAAUGUUAAUAUUUAACCAUGCUAAACAUAAUGAUGUGAAAAAAUUUAACUUUUGAAAUAGUCAAAUUAACACUUUUUUCUGCUAUUUUUUAUCCUAUUUGAGGACAAAUGAACAAAGGUGGUAAAGCAAAGUAAUCCUGGUAAUUAGGCUACCCUUACGGAUUAUGACUUUAAUAUUUUUAUGCAUAUAGGAUGUUUAUGAUUGUGGGUAGGUGUGCUACUGAAUGACCACCUAGUCAUGCCUAUGUGCAUGUGGAUAGUCCUAUUUACAAAGGAGACUCUGGCAAAAUUUUCCAAAAUGUAGGCAUUGGGUAGUCAUGCAUUUUUAACACUACUGUAGGCAUAUGUUAAAGUAAUGCAUGCAUGCAUAUAGUCAUAAAAUGCAUUUGAAAAGCUCCAGGUUAGAGUUUACCACACCCUUUCUGAAGUGAUUUGGAGACUUGUAUCCAAAUAUAUGGAUCCGGAUCAGCCGAGUAGUUCCCGCAGGACCACUUCAGGUGUGCGGAGGAGGGCUUCUAAUGUACCUCAACCCCAUUCAGUUAGACAACCUCGUCAUUUGAUGGAGGUGGUGAUCCGUCCUAUCCGGGUUGAGGUACCAAAUGUUGAGGACGAGGAGGAGGAUGUACCGAUUGUGGACCCCACUCCUGCUACUUAUGUUCCCCGCAGGGAUCUUCCAGGCAUUCAGGUGAUGAUUCUAGAGCUCCUGAAUGAUUUGAGUUGACACCCCUCAAUUUACUUACAUGCAAACAAGGUACAAGCUGGAUUUGAUCUUCCUUUUUCCUAUAGAUGUGGAGCAAGGAUUUUGAUGUUGAUUUGCUUUAUGAUGUAGGAUCCUGGCUUUACGCAGACUCAGUCUCUCCAUUUGUUGGACUGUGAGGUGAUGAUGACGUCGAUGGAUUGGCGAUUUAUCACUGGUAUAGAGUUUGGAGGGGCGCCAGUGCCUUGUACGGCGAAUAUUACCCCGACUGUCGUCAAAUCCUUGCUAGGAGUCCUGGUUGAGGCGCUCAAGGGUAGGACAGUUCGUACAGGUCCUUUGAGUGUGGAUGUUAUGAGUGGGCUGUUGAGUGAGCCCAUACCUGAUGAUGUGAGAGUUAGGAAUCGCAUUCUUCGGCGAUUGUUCCUGAUAAUCAUUAGGGGCUACUUCAUAGCGGAUAACUCUUCCACCAUAUCAUUCACUUUGGUCAGUACCACACGAGAUGUGGACCGUAUUGGAGAGUAUGACUGGGGUUCCUAUACCUUCGCCUAUUUCCUCAAGGGUAUGCGUUCGUAGGGCUUGACGGAGGCUUGGCUAGGAUUUUACCUAUUUCUACUGGUGAGUAUUUCUCUUAUGAUUUCCCAUAUGCAGGUUAAGAGUGUUGACUGACAGCAAAUGUUUGCCUUUGUGUUGGCAGUUUUGGGCCUUUGAGAGGCUCUCAUGCUUGCGUCCUAUGAGUGUGUUAGGUUUAGAUACCUAUCCACGAGGAUGGAGAUGGCAUCACUCCAUACUGGCGGAGGUUCCUGUAGCUGAGGGUUUCACCCAUUGUCAUCUACAGUUGGAGUUCUUGACAGCUGAUGCUAUCACUUGGAUUCCCUAUUCUGGGGAACAUUUGACUGUUGGGUUUCAGGUCGGGUACCCGACUGGUUUCGAGUAUAUGAUAUCCACCCGUAGGAUUCCUCUCUUCAUAGAUGGAGGAUGGGAGCUCUAUUUGGGAGAGCGUGCUAUUAGGAGCACUAUAGAGGAGAUUCGUGUACCGAUCUUGCCUCCUGUCAGGCAUUAUUGGCCUGUUUCACAGUCGCUUGUCAGUGAUAUCCCAUUGAUGGGCGUUGACGGCUUUACUUUUUCAAAGGGUCCGUAUACUCAGGAUAUGUUCCAUCACUGGUGGUCCCCUCGUACUAUCAGAGCCCAGACCCUCGCCACUCAGUUCAUGGGGGAUAUGGUUCCUAGGUCCAUGAUGAUGACGGAUUGGAUGGUCUAUUUCUGAGAUCCGACUCAUUAAACACAGAUUGAAAGUUUGACCCGGCAGUUCGACCGGGCACAUUUCUUUAUCCUGCACUUGGGUAGAGAUCCUUCAGAGGCAGAUACUUUUGAUCCUUCCAGCUCCGGGCCUGGCCAUUUAGGUGACCUGUAUGUUUUUGUCGACGUAGAUCCUCCAUUGUAUAGGCCUGACAUCCCACUUGGUGGAGAUCCAGUGACUCAGGAGGAGUUACAUUAGGUAGACAGGAUUGAUGAUGUUGACAUUGAUACCAUUGUCUUCUUCUGAUGUGUAUUCUCGCUAUAUCUUUUGAUAGGCCUCUAUUAGAUACUGGGUGGAUGUGUCCCAUUCUUGUUAUAUCUUUUGAUAGACCUCUAUAAGUUAUUGGGCGUUUGUGCCCCAUUUCCCUGUAUUUUUAGUUGUACAGAGAUGAUGUGCUUAAGAAUGUAUGUACUAUUUUCCAUUCCCUACAUCAUAUUGCCAUCUAUUGUUGAUCAUGCAUGUAUCAUAUUAUGCAUAUGUAUGUCCAGAGAUAUUCAACAUUGACCCCUGCAUAGUCUUAUGAUACGGCCCACACAUAUGUCUUCUUCGACAGUCAACCGCAUUGAUCACAUCCCACCAGUAUUGGUAGCCUCCCGUCUGAGGUCAUGGUAUGAUAGUUUGCCACCUCCAGACCCGGUGACCGUAGAUCAGUUAUUACAACAUUCCAUGACCCUCCUGAUGUUCUAGGUUUUUGUGGGCUUUGUAGAUGGAAUGUUGGAGCAUUGGGUAUUUGAGAGGCAGGUUUUCCGAUUGGGGACCCAGGAGUCGACUCUCACCUUCGAGGAGUACGAGCGGUUGACAGUUUUGUCACUAGACAGGACUUAUGCUUGGAUGGCUAUCGAUGACAUGAGCUGCCAGUUCAUGACCCUCACCAGGCUGAGGUGUAGAGUAGUAGAGGAUGAGAUUACAUUCGGUCAUGUGGUGUCCCAGCGUUUUCUGAUAGACAAAUUUGGCUCAGUGGACAGUUAUGCACGACUUUGGGGAUUUUACCACGUCGGAGGAUCAGUGGCAUAUGGCUAGAGUAGACGUACUCAUGAUGUGCGUAGUGGCUUAUGUGUACAUGCCACUGUAUAUGGAUGAGCUGGACAUUGGUGUUAUCAUGGCAGUGAGAGCUCUCAAGGAGGGUCAUACCAUUGUGCCGAUGAUUGUGACAGAGACAUUGAGGUCGACCAUAUAUUGCCACACUUAUCCUGCAUGGGUAUUCAUAGGUAGCUCGGUCCUGAUGUAUGUGUGGUUUAUGUCACACCUGAGACCGAUUGGCACCUUCCAAUGACAUGGGUAUUAUUUUUUCCAUGAGAUAGCCAUAUCUUACUCCUUUCAUCCAGCGGAGUGUACAGACGCUAUAUUCUGUUCGGUGUUUUUGGUAGGGAUCGGAGAUCCGUUUGACAUUUUGCCGUGUACAAGGCUUAGUUCACCCUACAGCUUCAUUACUCAUGCAUCUGGCAUGGAUUAUCUCCCUCUGGCUGGUUUGAGGGGAAUGACCACUUAUCACCCACUGGCUGUGUGUCACAGUUCGACCAGUUUCAAGACGUCCAUCCUUUUGAGGGGGCAUUAGGUCAGCGUUUGGCUUCUUGCCAUUUGUUAGAAGAUGACAGAUCUAAAGUGUAUGCAUGUUAGGAUCAGCGUGAGCUAGCUGAGUUUUCAGUUAGCCAUUUGGCCUGUUUGGCAGAGUAUUCUGCAUGGAUGGAGAUAGAAACUACAUCAGUUGCAAUAGUAUCCACAGUAUCGGGGAUUGAUUAUGAUGGUGGAGAGCCCGUAGAGGACAUUGAUUCUCCUACUGAGGAGUUGUUUGCUGGUUUGACAACAACUCUUGUUGAUUCUCCCAGUAUAACUGCUACUAUGACCCCGCAUUCAGCAGAGUAUUUAGAGCAGAGCCUGCAUCUGAUGACAUUUGAGAGAGAUCAGGCUAGGGCCUUGAUGUUGACAGCUCUUGCUGGUAGAGAUGUUGCUUUAUUGGAGAGAGAUGAUGCUUUAACUCAUAGAGACACCACUAUUGCUAAGCAUGAUGAGACUAGAUCAUCUAGAGAUGUAUUGAUUAUUGAGUGGGAUGGCGCUAUAUCUGCCCGGAAUGUAGCCGUUACUGAUAGUACUACAGCGAGGUCCCAUACUACUGCUAUUGUUGCAGAAAUGAGGGCUUUUAUUGAUGAGCACAGUGUCACCAUGCAGUUGGCUGUGGAUUUGUUGGCUCGUGUAGAUACCCUUAGGCAGGAGCUCACAGCGUUACCUCUUUUUUCAGAGAGAGAUGCCAUGUUGGACUUGAUAGCUCGCAUAUACACUGAUUUAUAGAUGGGCUUGUAUUUUUCUGCACAGUCUAGCUUAGCCAUUUUGUCAUGUACAGUACAUAUUGUAUAUAUCAAACAUCAUUAUAUAUGGCAGGAAAAUAUAUUUUGAUUCACUUCCCUUUUAGUUGUGCCUUGUUACAUGCUUGAUAUUUGUAUGCUUCUCUAGGACUUGUGAUCUUGAUGUAUUUUGAACUCAUCCUUGAUGGGUGGACAUUGAGAUGUCUCAGGAUCUUUCAGAAUGGAUCGUUGAUCUGUGUGUAUUCCCUACCCUUUGGUGUAUUGGGACUGGUUUCUGUAUGUAGUAAUGGGGAGGAGUGUGCCUUUCCUCUCUGAGGUUGACCCCACCACAGAUGGUCGUCGGUACUCCUUUGUAUGGGGGAGUCCAGGUAGUUCCAUCUCUUAUGGAUUGGUGUUUCUCUUUGAGGACUCAACCGUAGCUUAGAUGGUCGUCGAUUCUCCCAUUUGUGUGGGGAGAUCAGUUAGUUCCAUCCCUUUGGUCUAAAGUCGAUAAAGUGUGGUGAAUUGAAGGUUGAUCCCAGUACCAUGUGACAAGUUUUUGUGUUUUGGUAGGGGUAAGACUGAACCAUGAAUGGUUGCCUACGUACUCCUAUUGAAGAGGAGAUCAGGUCUGCUAGUUCGAACCUAGUGUAAGAGGUUCAACGAUGUAUGUGAAAGGGUGUAGAAGGGUGUAGAAGUGUUUUUUUUAUGUGGUGUGACCGGGCCAUAAAAACAAGGUUCUAAAAGGCGCUAGGCGGGAGGCGGGCGGCCAGGGGAGGCCUAGCGCCUGGGGGGCCUAGGCAGGAUUUUUUAUUGUAAGUCAAUUUUACUAUUUUAUCUCACAUUAUUCUAACAAAACAAUAAUAUAAAGCAAAAUAAUCUAUAAUAAAGAUAAUAAAGGCAUUUGUUUAAAGUUUAAACACAUUCAUAUAGCCAACUUCAAAGUUUAAACAAACACACAAUUGUUCAAAAUUCAAACACAAACAAAUAAUCAAAAAUACAAACUAAUAGUCUUCAUCCCCAUAUCCCUCUAUAUUUCUAACUCUUCAUCUCCAUAUCCCUCCAAGAUAAUGUCUCCAUUGGACUCACACUCAUACUCCUCAUCUCCCUCUUCCUCUAUGUCAUCAUCAGACAAAAAAUCUUCUUCAUGAAGUUCUCUUACUCCAACAAUUCUACUACUUCUCCUAGGCUCUAGCAUGUUAUCCGCUCUGGAUGUUUCACCAACCGUCUCCCAAAUAAGGCCCGAACAACCCUUAACCUCAUCAUCACCACCUUCAACAAUCCAUCCUUGCACUUUUGAAGCAUCACUUGCUAGUAGCACAUCUACUUUCCUAUCUUUCUCCCAUUUCUUUUUGUUAUUAAGCCUUGCAUUAAAUUGGACAUAGACUAGAUUGUUCAACCUUGUUGCAUCUAGUCUAUUCCUCUUCUUUGUAUGAAUCUACAAAAAAUGAAAUUGUUUUUUAAAAAAAUAAAAAAAUUAUAUAUUUAUAUUAGAUUUUACUUAAUAAACCACUUACUAGUUACUAUAUACUAUGUAGUUGAUAUUUACCCCCUCAAAAGUACUCCAAUUUCUCUCACACACAGAUGAACUAGUAGUCAACGAAAGAAUCCUUGUUGCCAUCCUUUACAAGUUAGGUGUACUAUUACCAUAAUUGGACCACCAUCCAACUAGUCAUUAAAGAUUGUAAAUUAUUAACAAAUAUUUUAACAAGUAUUAAAUAGUAAAGAAAGAUUAAACAAUAAAUAUUUAUACUCGAAUCAUAAUUAUUAUCAUUUGUUGCACAUCCCGCCGCCGCUAAAGGUCUUGCAAACCCACCCUCUUUUUUUUAUACUUCAACAACUCUAUAUUUAUGACAAGACUUUGCAUAUUGAAGUCAUCGGGAAAGAACUUCUCAACACAAGUAAACAUCGCAUCCAUGACAAGUGGAUCACUUUGUAUGUUAGGAUCUUUAAAGAAGUGAUAAGGGUUCAAUUGGUAAGCCGUCAAAUGCAAAGGACUAUCAAGCCGGUCUUUGGCUUUAGCAUCGAUAAUCGCGAGAAUGGGACGAUAGUUAGUCCCAUUAUUUUUGAAUGCCUCUUUGAUCUCUUCAUUUGCUUUUUUGAGUUCUCCAUAUAAAAAACCCAUUGAUGGCUUUUGGUCUCCAUCAACAAGGCGAAGCACCUUUACCAAUGGAGCAAACACUUUCAAGCAUAGUGUUACUUCAUUCCAAAAACUCAAACUCAAGACAGUAGCAUACGCCAUUUUUCCCUUAGUAUUUUUUGACCAUUUGCAUUGAUCCCAUUCAGUACUAGUAAACAUAUACCUCAACUUCUCUUUCUUUUCCAUCAAACUUUGCAAAGUUAAGAAAGAAGUUGCAAAUCUAGUAGUGCCAUGACUCACUAUGUCUCUCUUUUUUGUAUGUUUCCUCAUCAAUGCCAAUGUCUUAUGAUGUGCAUAAAUAAAGAUAGUAAAGGCCUUUGCUUUCUCAAUCACUCCCUUAAACUUUGGUAGCUUGCCAAUUCCUUCAAGCAUGAGGUUCAAAGUGUGAGUGGCACAAGAAGUCCAAAACAUAUGUGGCCUCUUUAUCAUUAACAAGUCUGCCGCGGUCAUGUUGUUGGAAGCAUUAUCAGUAACAACUUGCACUACAUUUUGUGGCCCAACUUGUUUAAUGAAAUCAUCUACAUAUUUGAAAAUAUAUUCUUUAGUGUGUGCUUCCUCAGAAUCUUCUUUACAAGAAAGAAAAGUUGUGCCCUCUUUGCAAUUCACACACAAAUUCAUGAUACUUCUUCUUUUUCUAUCAGUCCAAGCAUCGGUCAUAAUCGAACAACCAUUGAAAGACCAUUCCUCGUCUUACUUCUUGAGUGACUUCUUAGUCCUCUCUACCUCCUCUUUCAAUAAUGGCUCCCUUAGUUGGUAUUGGCUUGGAGGUUGGUAACCCGGGCUGUAACGACCGAGAAAUUCGGAUUUUAUUGUAAAAUGAUUUUAUUAAAUUAAAUAAUAAUAAAAUCAUAUUCUUUGUGAUAUCAAGAUGGUUGUCAUUCUAUAACCUAUUGAUGUUGGAAUGUCGUAGUAUUUGAGCUACGUGAAGGAAUUAAAGUGUUUGAAUUUCUAAGACGAAAAUAAAAGUUUUCCGAGAAAUUUUCUGAAAAACACUAUUCAUCGGUAUUUGCUCGGGAAUUAUUUUUCAAUUUUCGAGAAAUACGUAAUGAUAGAAUAUCAAGGUAAGACGAAUUAUGUAAUAAUAAUCUAGUUAUGGAAAACGUAAUAUUUCGCUUGCGAACUUAAUUCGAGAAUAUUAAGGAAAGCGAAGUAUUAGUAAGAAAUCGUUAAGGGUAUGAUACUUAUGUAUUGUACAAGGGAAUGAAAACGAGUAUAAUACAAAGUAUUAUACGAGUUUGUAUGAAGGAAGGAAUAUCGUAUAUAAUAAAGUUGUAUACGAAUUAUAAUACGAGAAUAAUACAUAGACAAUAUGUAUAUGUAAUGGAUUUGGAAGAUUGGUUAACAAUUGGUACAAGCCCAAGUGAAUUAAAUGUUAAGGCCAAAUGUUAAUUAAUGAACAAGUUAAUUAAUGCAAGCCCAAAAGAUAGGUUAAACUAAGCCCAAAUUAAAGUCCAAUGGGUUAUGGUGACCCAUGGGGCAAACCAUACUAAUGUGGUUAAUGUGUGGUAACCAAGAUAAGUGGUGACCAAGUUAAGUGGUAACCAAGUUGAUGUAAUGACCAAGCAAAGGAUAGGUUUUGUGCCAUGCAAGUAAUGAAUAGUAAGGAGGUUCAUAAGGAGAUGGGAUUGGUUUAAAGUCCAAACUACCCUAACUUUGAAAAAUCUAUAUAUAGAGGAGGCUUACAAGCCAUUUUUUAGUUGUUCAAAUAAUCCAAACACUCUUUCAAAGUGCUUAAUUGUUAGGGUGAUUAAGUUGCAAAUAAGUUACUUACAUAAGAAGAAGAAGAAGACUACUUACAAAGACUUCAAAUGUAAGACUCCUCUAAUUAUCUUCUAUCUCUAUUCAUGAUAGGUUGAUAAGCAAAGAUGAAUUAAGGAACAUGAAUGUUAAGAAGUGAGAAGAAUGUGUAAGUAAUGAACUAAAGCCACAUAAGUUGGUAAUAAGUCAUUUAAGCUAGCAUAAGUUAUAAACUUAUGUGAAAGUAUUAUGAACUUGUCAUGAGUUUGUUAAUGAAAGUAAAGGAAUUGUAUGUAUAUUAAUCAUAUAUACAUGAAUGAAACUAUAUGUGAAAACAUGUAUGCAUGAUGAUUAAAAGAUAAUAACUUUCAUAAGUUAUGAACAAUGAAGCUAUAAGUAGUUUAUAAUUGAAUAAGUUAUAAGCUCAUGAAUGAAUUAAGUUAAAAUCCAACAAUGGAAAUAAGUUAUUGUAUUAAGUAUGUGAAUAUGUUUAUAGAAUGAAAUGAAUGCAAGUGAGUAAUGAACAAAUCAUAAGUAAUGAAGAUUUGCCAGAAAUCGAACGAUUAGACGAUAAUCGUCGAAUUCAUGAAAUUCCCAGAUUAGAAGUCAAAUUUUGAGUUUGAACUCGGAAAUGUAAUUUUCCAAUGGAGACAAGUCAUAUUCGUCAUUUUAGAGUUGCGAACUCAAGAAUGACUGAAUUCCGACUUAUAAUGAAGAAACGAGCGUUGAACGUUCACGAACGUUUAUCGUUUACGUUAAAAAUGAACCAAUAGGUGAAUUUUUAGCAAACAAAGUCAAAUAGAUAAAAUUUUUGCAUGAACGCGUAGAUUACGUAAUUUGUGAACCGUAGGCUUUUGAACGAGCCAAUUCGGACUUAUAACGAAGAAGUUAUGCGUCCGGGAAGUUCACAAAAUUUAAAGUUUGAAAAAAUUUUCUGGUGCAUAGAGUUGGCGCCGCGGUGCCAACCCUAGGCCAAAUGAUGGCGCCGCAGCGCCGUAACAGUAACCGAGCAUACUGGAAACUCGCGCCGCAGCGCAAACUGUAGAACAUUUUAUGGCGACGCAGCGCCAUGAACAGACCAUGCCAUACUGGAAAGUGGCACCGUAGCGCGGCCCACUAAGUAAGGACUCGCGCCGCAGCGCCAAGUUCCUGACCUCUCCACUAUUAACUCACGCCGCAGGGCGAGCUGUAGUUAUAAAGCUGGCGCAGUAGCGCCAGUCUCAGAACAAGGAUAGUGAAGAAUAUUUCUAAGUACAAAGAAAGAAUGGUAAUGGAUUUAAAAAUAAACAUACUUUAAGGAACAUAACUUAACAUUGUUUAAACUUUGUUAAACCUUAAGGAUGUUGUAUAAAGGUUGAGAUAACCUAGUCAAAUGUAAAUGCAAGUAUAAUGAUAAACCCGAAUGAAUAGUAAAUAUAUCUAAUACACAAUUAGAUUGAGAUGAAGGGUAAGAUAGUCAUAUAUAUACUUGGUUAUAUAUGACCUAAUGUGAGGCAUUAUGUGGUCAUGUAUUGCAGAGACUUGAAAGACUUGAACGUAAAGUAUUUAUACCGUAGCAGACGCUAAAGGCAAGUAUUCUAACUCUUGUCUCAAUUCAAUCUGAACAAGUUUUGAAGUUCGUGUAUUCUUACGCAUGAACUAAUGUAUGAUGAAGUUAAAGCCAAUCCUUUCAGCUAGACUUGACUUAUUGAGUGGAUUAUUGAUAAUCUUUCAGGCACGCGAGGUUGCCACCAAUUAAACGUACAUACGUUUAAUGAAUGUAGUGUUUAUCAACAUAGAGUACAAUAGGCUGAUCACCUAGAAGUGCUCAUAAGUAAUACCGGUCUUACGGACUUAGUUCCGGGUUGUCCUUUUCAAAGAAGAAAGAAAUGCUCGAGGUCUUUGACUGGAGUGAAUGUUUUACUGAAUACUGAUAUUAUUGUAAAACAUUUUUAAAGAAAGAUGAAAUGCUAUUUUGAAUAAUUAAUAGUACUUCAUAACUAUUGUUCAGUUAUUAAAGAUAUACGAUUCGUAUGUAUCAAACAUGUUAUUUAUUGAAAAUGUCAUACUUGCUGAGCUAGUUAUGCUCACUCUUGCUUGAACCAUAUGAAUGCAGCUAAGACUGAAUGUCCCGAAGGAUCGAAUAAGGAUAAAGGAAAAGCUAAGGUAGAUCGUUAAGCUGCCUAUGUAAUAGUAUAGGUUAUUGUUGUAAUGUUAUUGAUAUUAUGACAAAGAACCUUUGUAAUAGGUUUAGAACUUGGGACAAUGUAAUUAUUAUUUUGAUAAUAUAGAAGAGAUGUUCGUUCUUUUGAGGCUUUUCAAUUGAAUGAAUGUAUGAAUGUUAUUACAGUAUAGCACCAUCUGUCAGGUUGGAAGAUACCCGAAUUUAGGGGCGCUACAGGUUGGUAUCAAAGCCUAGGUUGUAAAACUUAAGGGGGAUUAGAACCUUAAGUCAUAACCUUAAUAAAGAAGUAGAAGAUGAAAGAUAACCCUAUAAAAAUGUAUUAUCUUAUGUUAAGUGUUUUUAUUAUUUUACUAACGUGUACUAAUCAAACAAUAUUGUUUUAUUGUAGAUGUCAGGUGAAAAUGAUAUGUAUAGAGAUAUACAUGUAGUGAGCGAGGAUUCGGUUAAUCGAGUAGAGGUACUACCCAAUCCCGUAGCAGUAGAACCAAAGGUGCUGACUAUCGAGUCUGGAGACUCGGACGAUUUAGACUACAUGUCUAUAUUUGAUGGCAUGCUAGAGGAAGAGGUGGACGUGAUGUCCUUUGAUCAGGUUCCACCUACAGAAGAGUUGACUACGGGGGAGUCAAUGAAGGCGUUGUUCAUGUCAAUUCUGGAUAGAAACGUCCACUAAUGUCAAGAAGUUAGGGAGUUCCAAGAGGAACUCCAAGCUGUCCGGGAGGACAAAUUAAGUAUGGAGGGUAUGUUGGAAGAGGAACACGAUGAUCGUGUUUUAGCCAAGGACAAGGUCCACGAGCUGAAACACGAAGUCUUUGAGCUCAAGCAGGAGCUAAAGACUAAACAGCAGAAGAUAGAGAGGAUGUCCUAUAUACAUAGGAGUUCUCAUGUGGACUUCCAGCAACAAGUAGUUGGAUAUCCAGUGGAAGCAGGGCAGACUCGACAUACCAUUAGUCGAGAUGUCAUAGCCGGUUUGGCCAAGAAAGAUUUCGAUAAUGCCAUUCGGCAAAUGUAAUCUAGUUAUAGCUAGACUAGUUUAGAUAUGUAAAUAUUAUGUAUCUAGUAGUGACGUAAAACUCUCUUUUGUAUAUCAAGGGUAGUCUUUUGUAAAUCCCAAUUUUUGGAAAACAAUUGCGGGAUGGUAAUGUAAUCAGCUAAGGCUGAGUAAUGUAAACAAUGUAGUGUUAUGCUACAAGUUAUGAAUCAAUAUAAGUCUUUUUAUGGAACAUAUUGAGUAAUGGGUAUGAGUUAUUAUUUCAGUACAAAUAAUAACAAAACAAGAAGAAGAAAGUAAUAAUGACGUGUUGUUUUCUUAACAGCAAAAUGCCGCCAAGAAGGAGACAACGAAAUCAAGAUACUAAUGUUGAACAACCGGAAGAAGGUCCGGUUAAUCCAAUACAAGAGUUCGUUAAUCUUUUAACGGCUGCGUUUAAUAGAACUGGGGCUAAUGUACCCAUAAAUCCUGGAGUAGUGAUAGCUACUACUUUUAAGGAUUUCAAAAGUGUCGGUCCGCCGGAGUUCAAAGGAACUACAGACCCAAUAGAAGCCCAAACUUGGGUGAAAGAAAUUGAGAAAGCAUUUGUAAUAUCAAAUGUUGAGGAAGGUCAAAAGGUUGCCUUUGCAACCUAUAUGAUGAAAGGGGAGGCCAAUUUCUGGUGGGAGGCAAACCAGGUUAGGGCUGGAAUAGAAAACUUAACGUGGGUAGGGUUCAACGAGAUUUUCUUCUAGAACUAUUUUCCCACGAGUAUGCAGGGGAGGAUGGAAAUGAGGUUUCUUGAUUUGAAACAAGGGGAUAUGACUGUUCCCCAGUAUGCUGCCAAGUUUAAUGAACUGGCAAGAUUUUCUCCACAUCAAGUGGACACUAAAGUGAGAAAGGUUAGACGAUUCGAGCAGGGCUUGAAACCCUGGAUCUAUAGCCAAAUUUCUGUGUUCCAAAGUACUUCCUUUGGAACCAUAUUAGAAAAGGCAAUAAUUGCCAAAGGUGGGAAUGAGGCUCUCAGCCAGUACCACAAGGAUAAGAAAAACAAGGGCAGGGUUGAUGGAGGAAUAAAGACCGAGGGAACCAGUGGUAGUGGCGACGGUCAAAAGAGGAAGAGUUUUAACUCUGGGAAUACCAGAGUAAAGCAAGGGGAUUCAAAAAGGAGGAUGGAGGCUUGUAAAACCUAUGGGAAGACUCAAUUAGGAGUCUGUCUCAAGGGUAAGGCAGUAUGUUAUAAUUGUGGGCAGGAAGGGCACAUUUCGCCUAAUUGUCCCAAUCCAAAGAAAAACCAUUGAUGCUUUGUAUGUGGAUCAACUGACCACAUAGCAAAGAACUGUCCAAAGAAGGGGGCAGAUGGAAAUAAGGGCACUAAUAGCGGUAAGUUGGCUAUUAGUGGUCCAGCUCAGCUGGGUAGACCAAUGGCCUGCACUUUUAAUAUGACGGUCCAAGAUGCGGUGGCAUCAGGGGAUGUAGUUGCAGGUAUUAUCCCGAUCAAUAACAUAAAUGCGUACAUGCUAUUUGAUUCAGGUGCUACUUGUUCAUUUAUAGCAUGUGAUUUUGCAAGACGAUUAGAAUUACUUUCCGAAAAGUUUCUUAUACCUUUGAUUAUUAAGGUAGCAAAUGAAGAGAUAAUUCCUGUUGAAGAUAUUCAUAGGAAUUGUUGCAUAGAUAUACGAGAUUGUAAAUUAUCGGUAGAUUUAAUACCGAUAAAGUUGGGAGAAUUCGAUGUAAUUCUCAGAAUGGAUUGGUUGAUUAACCAUGGAGCAAUUAUAGAUUGCCAGAAGAAAUGUGUGAGCAUUAGGACGUUGAAACAACCUCCUGUAGUAUUUUACGGUAAUAAAUCGCUAGGACGUUCGUGUUGUCUUACGAUGACACAAACUAGAAAACUUUUAAGGAAGGGAUGUGUGGGUUACUUGUGCCAUGUUGUUGACACCCAGCGAGUGGGAGCAACCAUGGAACAAAUACUCAUAGUAAACGAAUUCAUGGAUGUGUUUCCAAGUGAGUUACCGGGGUUACCACCGAAUAGGGAGAUCAAAUUCGUAAUAGACAUAGUGCCAGGAACGGCACCAGUCUCAAGGGCACCGUAUCGUAUGGCGCUUGUGGAAAUGAAAGAGCUAAUGGUUCAGUUACAGGAACUAUUGGAUAGAAAGUACAUUCAACUGAGUGUUUCCCCAUGGGGUGCACCGGUAUUGUUUAUUAAGAAGAAAGACGGAUCGUUAAGACUUUGUAUCGACUAUCGAGAGUUGAACAAGUUAACGAUAAAGAAUAAAUACCCAUUGCCCAGGAUCGAUGAUCUUUUUGAUCAGUUGAAAGGGGUAAAGUAUUUUUCUAAAAUAGAUUUGCGGACGGGGUAUCACCAAUUGAAGGUUAGGAAGGAGGAUAUACCAAAGACGACAUUCAGAACUCGUUAUGGUCAUUAUGAGUUUCUAGUAAUGUCAUUUGGAUUGACGAAUGCACCAGCUGCAUUUAUGGAUAUGAUGAACAGAGUGUUCAAACCAUAUUUGGACAAGUUCGUCGUAGUGUUUAUCGAUGAUAUUCUAGUCUAUUCAAAGAUGCCAGAAGAUCAUGCUGAACACUUAAGAUUAGUGUUGGAGACACUAAGAAAGGAGAAGUUAUAUGCAAAAUUCACUAAGUGUGAAUUUUGGCUGGAGAAGGUAUAGUUUUUAGGUCAUGUCAUUGACCAAGAAGGGAUUUCAGUGGAUCCAGCAAAGGUAGAAGCAGUGAUGAGCUGGGAACAAUCGAAAACGCCGUCUGAGGUGCGGAGUUUCCUAGGGUUAGCGGGAUACUAUCAAAGAUUUAUCCAAGAUUUUUCAAAGAUAGCUACCCCAUUGACUAACUUGACAAGGAAGACGAUGAAAUACGUGUGGACGGAUAAAUAUGAAGACAGUUUUCAAGAAUUGAAGAAAAGAUUAAGUGAAGCUCCUGUUUUGUCAUUACCCGAUGACACAGGAAAUUUUGUAGUUUAUAGCGAUGCUUCGCAUAGAGGACUUGGUUGCGUGCUCAUGCAGCAUGCCAAAGUCAUUGCGUAUGCAUCAUGGCAGUUAAAGGAUUAUGAGAAAGUCUAUCCUACUCAUGAUCUGGAACUGGCCGUGAUAGUGUUUGCCUUAAAGAUAUGGAGACAUUAUCUUUAUGGGGAGAAAUGUGAGAUAUAUACGGACCAUAAGAGUCUUAAGUAUAUCUUCACUCAGAAGGAGUUGAAUAUGAGACAGAGAAGAUGGCUAGAGUUGAUAAAGGAUUACGAUUGUGAAAUCCUGUAUCACCCUAGGAAAGCCAAUGUAGUUGUCGAUGCCUUAAGUAGGAAGGGUCGAGAAAAGUUAUCUGUGUUAACAACUCAAAAUGAGUUAAUAACAAAGAUGGCUAAGAUGGAAAUAGAAGUGAAGAUGCCAAGUGACUCUAGGCAGAUACUUUUUUCAACGGAGAUGCAAUCUACCAUCGUAGAGAGAGUCAAGGAGGUACAACUCAAGACUGACGAGUGUAACCAAAUGAAGAAGCGGAUAUCUGAUAAGGAAGAUACUAAGUAUAGUCUUGAUAAUGAAGAAUUAUUAAGAUUUGAAGGAACAAUUUGGGUUCCAAAUGAGACAGAAUUAAAGGAGCAAGUGUUACAAGAAGCUCAUAGUUUGAGGUACUUGAUACAUCCUGGUAGCACUAAGAUGUAUCAAGACCUUCGACAGAUUUUUUGGUGGCCGAAUAUGAAGAGAGAAAUAGCUGAAUACGUGAGUAGAUGCUUAACUUGUCAAAAAGUUAAAGCUGAACAUCAAAGACCAAGUGGCUUGUUACAGUCAUUGGAGAUUCCAGAAUGGAAGUGGGAGCAUAUCACGAUGGACUUCGUGAUGGGACUUUCGACAACGACCAAAGGGUACGAUUCGAUUUGGGUAAUAGUAGACCGAUUGACGAAAUUGGCUCACUUCUUACCAAUUAGGGUCAAGUAUAACUUAGACUAGUUAGCUAAGCUUUAUGUCAAGGAAAUUAUUUCCAGACAUGGAGUACUAGUAUUGAUUGUGUCAGAUCGUGAUCCACGAUUCACAUCGAACUUCUGGAGAAGUUUGCAAGAACAGCUGGGAACACAGUUGAAGUUAAGCACAACUUAUCAUCCACAAACUGAUGGGUAGAGCGAGAGGACAAUUCAGACGUUAGAAGACAUGUUAAGGUCUUGCGUCAUGGAUUUUAAGGGUAGUUGGGAUGAUCACCUACCACUUGUAGAGUUUGCAUAUAACAACAGUUAUCAUGCAAGCAUAGGCAUGCCGCCUUAUGAAGCUUUGUACGGAAGGUGCAGAAAACCAUUGUAUUGGGAUGAAGUGGGAGAACGCCGGAUGCUAGGACCAGAAUUGGUGCAGCAGACAGCGGAUGUAAUAAAGUUAAUUCAGAUGCAUCUUGUUACAGGUCAAGACAGACAGAAGAAAUAUGCGGACUCACAUAGAUUAAAUCGAGAGUUUGAAGUAGGCUCAUAUGUAUUUCUAAAGGUAUCUCCCUGGAAAGGAAAGAUACGCUUUGGAAAGAAAGGAAAGAUACGCUUUGGAAAGAAAGGGAAGAUAAGUCCAAGGUUUAUAGGACCUUUUGAGGUAUUAAAAAGGGUGGGAGAGGUAGCUUAUAUGAUAGCAUUACCUCCAGACCUAUAAAGAAUAAAUAACGUGUUUCACGUAUCUGUAUUGCGUCCGUAUAAGCCGAAUUAUAAGCACGUAAUCGAAUAUGAGCCGAUUCAUAUCGAGAAAGAUUUAACCUAUGAAGAAUCGUCGAUUCAAAUCAUUGAUAGAAAAGAGCAAGUUCUGCGGAACAAAGUAAUACCGUCAGUAAAGGUAUUAUGGAAGAACCACGAUGCCGAAGAAGCAACGUGGGAAUUAGAAGAAAAGAUGAAGAAAAAUUUUCCUCAUCUAUUUGAUUAAAGUAAGACAAGAUUCUGGGGACAUAAUCUUUAUAAGGGGGGAAGAAUGUAAUGACCGAGAAAUUCAGAUUUUAUUGUAAAAUGAUUUUACUAACUAAAUAAUAAUAAAAUCAUAUUCUUUGUGAUAUCAAGAUGGUUGUCAUUCUAUAACCUAUUGAUGUUGGAAUGUCGUAGUAUUUGAGAUACGUGAAGAAAUUAAAGUGUUUGAAUUUCUAAGACGAAAGUAAAAGUUUUCCGAGAAAUUUUCUGAAAAACACUAUUCAUCAGUAUUUGCUCGGGAAUUAUUUUUAAUUUCCGAGAAAUACGUAAUGAUAGAAUAUCAAGGUAAGAUGGAUUAUGUAAUAAUAAUCUAGUUAUGGAAAACGUAAUAUUCGCUUGCGGAAUUAAUUCGAGAAUAUUAAGGAAAGCGAAGUAUUAGUAAGAAAUCGUUAAGGGUAUGAUACUUAUGUAUUGUACAAGGGAAUGAAAACAAGUAUAAUACAAAGUAUUAUACGAGUUUGUAUGAAGGAAGGAAUAUCGUAUAUAAUGAAGUUGUAUACGAAUUAUAAUAUGAGAAUAAUACAUAGACAAUAUGUAUAUGUAAUGGAUUUGGAAGAUUGGUUAACAAUUGGUACAAGCCCAAGUGAAUUAAAUGUUAAGGCCCAAUGUUAAUUAAUGAAUAAGUUAAUUAAUGCAAGCCCAAAAGAUAGGUUAAACUAAGCCCAAAUUAAAGUCCAAUGGGUUAUGGUGACCCAUGGGGCAAACCAUACUAAUGUGGUUAAUGUGUGGUAACCAAGAUAAGUGGUGACCAAGUUAAGUGGUAACCAAGUUGUUGUAAUGACCAAGCAAAGGAUAGGUUUUGUGCCAUGCAAGUAAUGAAUAGUAAGGAGGUUCAUAAGGAGGUGGGAUUGGUUUAAAGUCCAAACUACCCUAACUUUGGAAAAUCUAUAUAUAGAGGAGGCUUACAAGCCAUUUGUUAGUUGUUCAAAUAAUCCAAACACUCUCUCAAAGUGCUUAAUUGUUAGGGUGAUUAAGUUGAAAAUAAGCCACUUACAUAAGAAGAAGAAGAAGAAGAAGAAGACUACUUACAAAGACUUCAAAUGUAAGACUCCUUCUCUAAUUAUCUUCUAUCUCUAUUCAUGAUAGGUUAAUAAGCAAAGAUGAAUUAAAGAACAUGAAUGUUAAGAAGUGAGAAGAAAGUGUAAGUAUUGAACUUAAGCCACAUAAGUUGGUAAUAAGUCAUUUAAGCUAGCAUAAGUUAUAAACUUAUGUGAAAGUAUUAUGAACUUGUCAUGAGUUUAUUAAUGAAAGUAAAUAAAUUGUAUGUAUAUUAAUCAUAUAUACAUGAAUGAAAUUAUAUGUGAAAACAUGUAUGCAUGAUGAUUAAAAGACAAUAACUUUCAUAAGUUAUGAACAAUAAAGCUAUAAGUAGUUUAUAAUUGAAUAAGUUAUAAGCUCAUGAAUGAAUUAAGUCAAAAUCCAAUAAUGGAAAUAAGUUGUUGUAUUAAGUAUGUGAAGAUGUUUAUAGAAUGAAAUGAAUGCAAGUGAAGUAAUGAACAAAUCAUAAGUAAUGAAGAUUUUCUGGAAAUCGAACGAUUAGACGAUAAUCGUCGAAUUCGUGAAAUUCCCGGAUUAGAAGUCAAAUUUUGAGUUUGAACUCAGAAUGAACCAAUAGGUGAAUUUUUAGCAAACGAAGUCAAAUAGAUAAAAUUUUGCAUGAACGUGUAGAUUACGUAAUUUAUGAACCGUAGGCUUUUGAACGAGCCAAUUCGGACUUAUAACGAAGAAGUUAUGCGUCCGGGAAGUUCAUAAAAUUUAAAGUUUGAAAAAAAUUUCUGGUGCACAGAGUUGGCGCCACGGCGCCAACCCUAGGCCAAAUGAUGGCGCCGCAGCGCUAUAACAGUAACCGAGCAUACUGGAAACUCGCGUCGCAGCACGAACUAUAGAACAUUUUGUGGUGACGCAGCGCCAUGAACAGACCAUGACAUACUGGAAAGUGGCAUCGUAACGCGGCCCACUAAGUAAGGACUCGCGCCACAGCGCCAAGUUCCGGACCUCUCCACUGUUAACUCGUGCCGCAGGGCGAGCUGUAGUUAUAAAGCUGGCGCUGCAGCGCCAGUCUCAGAACAAGGAUAGUGAAGAAUAUUUCUAAGUACAAAGAAAGAAUGGUAAUGGAUUUAAAAGUAAACAUACUUUAAGGAACAUAACUUAACAUUGUUUAAACUUUGUUAAACCUUAAGGAUGUUGUAUAAAGGUUGAGAUAACCUAGUCAAAUGUAAAUGCAAGUAUAAUGAUAAAUCAGAAUGAAUAGUAAAUAUAUCUAAUACACAAUUAGAUUGAGAUGAAGGGUAAGAUAGUCAUAUAUAUACUUGGUUAUAUAUGACCUAAUGUGAGGCAUUAUGUGAUCAUGUAUUGUAGAGACUUGAAAGACUUGAACGUAAAGUAUUUAUACCGUAGCAGACGCUAAAGGCAAGUAUUCUAACUCUUGUCUCAGUUCAAUCUGAACAAGUUUUGAAGUUCGUGUAUUCUUACGCAUGAACUAAUGUAUGAUGAAGUUAAAGCCAAUCCUUUCGGCUAGACUUGACAUAUUGAGUGGAUUAUUGAUAAUCUAUUCAUCUAUUAUCAUAUGUUAUUAUCUUUUUUCAACUACUUGAUAUGGUUUUCAAAAGAAGACUGAAAUGUUAAACAAAUGUUUUUGUCGUUAAACGACAGGCAUGCGAGGUUGCCACCAAUUAAACGUACAUACGUUUAAUGAAUGUAGUGUUGAUCAACAUAGAGUACAAUAGGCUGAUCACCUAGAAGUGCUAGUAAGUAUUACCGGGCUUACGGACUUAGUUCCGGGUUGUCCUUUUCAAAGAAGAAAGAAAUGCUCGAGGUCUUUGACUGGAGUGAAUGUUUUACUGAAUACUGAUAUUAUUGUAAAACAUUUUGAAAGAAAGAUGAAGUGCUAUUUUGAAUCAUCAAUAGUACUUCAUAACUAUUGUUCAGUUAUUGAAGAUAUACGAUUCGUAUGUAUCAAGCAUGUUAUUUAUUGAAAAUGUCAUACUUGCUGAGCUAGUUAUGCUCACCCUUGCUUGAACCAUAUGAAUGCAACUAAGACUUAACGUCCCGAAGGAUCGAAUAAGGAUAAAGGAAAAGCUAAGGCAGAUCGUUAAGCUGCCUAUGUAAUAGUAUAGGUUAUUAUUGUAAUGUUAUUGAUAUUAUGACAAAGAACCUUUGUAAUGGGUUUAGAACUUGGGACAAUGUAAAUAUUAUUUUGAUAAUAUAGAAGAUAUGUUCGUUCUUUUGAGGCUUUUCAAUUGAAUAAAUGUAUGAAUGUUUGUAUAGUAUAGCACCAUCUGUCGGGUUGGAAGAUACCCGGAUUUGGGGGCGCUACACGGGCCAUAUUAACCAACCUCCUCACAAAACCUUUUGAAGCUGUCACAGUCGAUAACAUUAAAAGGAAUACCGACUUCAUACACCCAUCGAGCCAUGUAUUAAAGCACACUAUGCGUCCUUUCCUUCCAAAGUGCAUCAUUAAUAUUUUGUUAUCGUAGCUUUUUACUUGCACUCAUUAAAGAAUCGGGAUUUAUGGUCGAUGCAAAUUUAUCCAUAGCCUCAAUCAAUUGUGGUCUUUUUCUUGACCCUGUCACUUCAAUUUCUUCUUCUCCCUCUUCAUCAAUUAUAUUAACCUCUCUUCUAAUUUCUUCAAUCUCUUUCCUUUUUUCUUGCUUCUUCCUUUUAACUUCUUCUAAUGCGGCUUUACAGUUUUCUUUAUCUUCAUCAGUAGCCUUUGGGCACGAUCUAGUAUUUCCCGUAAUUUGCGCAAUGUGUUAUUUAAUUCUAUAAACCCCUCCACUAAUACAAUGUCCACACAACUUGCAUUUCACCUUAUCGAUAUUUUUAGGAUUAAUCAACAUCCCAUACUACCAUCCAACGUCAUUUCAUGCACGUUUCAAUUGUGAUUUAAGUACAGUGACAGAAUUAGAUGCUCCCGAAGAAGGAAUUUGUGCCAUUGAAACAAACCUACAAAUGUCACAGUCUAUAGAAGGCGGCAGCAACAAAUAGAGGGAAAAUAAGUAAGUCAAUAAGAUAUUCAUAUUCUCUGUUUACUAUACACAGUUAUAGCUCAUGCUUGGUUAUUUUAUAUUUUAUUUUCUCUGUUUGGUAUACACAGUACGGUUUGUUGUAUUUUUGUUUAUGUACAGCUUUCUUUGGAUGCUCAUUGCUCUGGAACUAUUAUUUCACAGGCCUCGCUAGUGUCGCAUCCAAACUCGUAUUUCAUUUUGACUGUCGAUAUUAAUACUUGUUCUGUGACCCAAGAAUGUUUACUUACUGUGAUUGAGAUUGUUCAGUUUUAAUUUGAGCUUAAAGUUUGUUGAUGAACUCAAACCUUUUUAGUUGCUUAGCAGAAAGGAAAAUUUCAAAAACAAGUGGCGAUGUGGAGUUUACAAACAAGCUAAUUGAUGUUCACAAACAAGCUAAUUGAUGUUUACAAGAUAUCAAAACUCACUGUGAUGGAGUGGUGUUGUGGCCAUGUGGCGGCGAUGGAGUGGCGUUGUCGCUACGAUGGAGCAGUGGCGGCCGUCCGGCCGUGCGCCCGUGCCUCUUCUUCUUCUUCUUCUUUUGCAGUUCUGCCCUUUCUUCUUCACUUUAGUAAUGGUCUGCACGUUUUUUAGAGAAUGGAAGAAAGAUCAGAUGACUGAAGUGAUGACUAUGACUAUGAGUAGUGGGUAUUAAAUUUUAACUUUGAGUAAAGAUAUCAUGUGUACACCCUCACCACAAACUUUGUAAGCUAUCAAGAAUGUUUACUUCAUGCCACGUGUUGAGCAAUAUGCCAU